This 253-nucleotide ribosomal RNA is filed under the name uncultured bacterium. Its description in RNAcentral is "partial 16S ribosomal RNA". It matches the Rfam family "Bacterial small subunit ribosomal RNA", at positions 524 to 776 of the family's 1533-position model. The record is from RNAcentral.
UACGAAGGGGGCUAGCGUUGCUCGGAAUCACUGGGCGUAAAGAGUGUGUAGGCGGUGCUCUAAGUUCGGUGUGAAAUCUCCUGGCUUAACUGGGAGGGUGCGCCGGAAACUGGGGUGCUCGAGCAUGGGAGAGGAAAGCGGAAUUCCUGGUGUAGCGGUGAAAUGCGUAGAUAUCAGGAGGAACACCUGUGGUGUAGACAGCUUUCUGGACCAUUGCUGACGCUGAGACACGAAAGCGUGGGUAGCAAACAGG